RNAcentral lists this ribosomal RNA (46 nucleotides) under Chaetosphaeronema sp. RNAcentral describes it as "partial 28S ribosomal RNA". The record is from RNAcentral. Lineage: Eukaryota; Fungi; Ascomycota; Dothideomycetes; Pleosporales; Phaeosphaeriaceae.
UUUUGACCUCGGAUCAAGUAGGGAUACCCGCUGAACUUAAGCAUAU